Molecule: long non-coding RNA, 660 nt
Filed under: Manihot esculenta (cassava)
Lineage: Eukaryota; Viridiplantae; Streptophyta; Magnoliopsida; Malpighiales; Euphorbiaceae
Description: long non-coding RNA (MESC_LNC002979)
Source: RNAcentral
UCUGAUCUGUUAAGUUUACUGUGAUCUUGAAGAACAUGGCUGAGGAGCACCACAACAAGGCCCAUGAGUCUGAGACCCCAGUUGUUGUUGAGGGGUCAGCUGUGGAAUCCAAGGAUCGUGGGCUGUUUGAUUUCAUGGGGAAGAAAGAGGAAGAGAAGCCUCAAGGGGAGGUGAUCGUCACUGAGUUUGAAGAGAAGGUUCAGGUGUCUGAACCAGAGGAGAAGAAGCCUGGUCUGUUGGAGAAGCUUCAUCGAUCGGAUAGCAGCUCUAGUUCUGUAAGUGUAAAUUUCAAUACCAGUAUGAUCAACUACUUAUCUUAUAAAUUUUGUACUCACUGCAUUUGAAAUCUUGCAGUCUAGUGAUGAGGAAGAAGGCGAGGGAGAGCAGAAGAAGAAGAAGAAGGAAAAGAAGGGAUUGAAGGAGAAGAUCAAGGAGAAGAUAUCUGGAGAUCACAAAGAAGAAAAGAAAGAAGAGGACACCACAGUCCCUAUUGAGAAAUACGAAGAAGCAGAAGCAGCAAAUCAAGCCGAUGAAAAGAAAGGUUUUCUAGAGAAAAUCAAAGAGAAACUGCCAGGACACAACAAGAAGCCUGAAGAGGUAGCUACGCCGCCUCCACCGCCACCACCAACUGAGCAUGUUCAUGCAGAGUCAGCCUCUCAU